CAUCUUGGUUGGGUCUCUGUUCUUGAAAGAUCGUGAAUAAAUUCUUUUCUUCUCCGCAAUCAGGAAGUUUCUAAACUUUGGACCUAUUGAGAUUAGGUAAAUCCCUGGCCAGCAUAAAAAUUAUAGUUCCAAGAAAGAAAUGAAGGUGAACUUAGCCAUGAUAGUGAACAUGGGAUUUGGAAACGGAACGUGGUGAACCUAACUAUGGUCAUUAACGUGGGGCACUGCUGGAUCCCAGGUAGUGUGGAAGUGGGCCUUCACUGCAGUACAGACCAUCUGAUCUUCUGAUAUCUAGGUUCCAGUCAAGAGGUCUCGGUAAGAUAAAGCUGCUUGCUUACGUAGGAUAUUGUGGCAUCCAGGCAAGGGAUGAUAUGACCUUUAACCGCUGCACAGACCCUCAUGUCUUCAGUUAUCUAAGUAAGUGAUGAGGAAAUCCCUACCACCUUUGGUGCCAUGUUUCCUUGCAGAAAUUCAGGUAAGAAAUGACAGUCUCCUUACCAAUACUACUCAUCAUGCGGUCUUAGCAUUUGCUGCCUCAGAGACUCGGGAUGGCCAGCACUGGUAGUAGUGAGGGAGGGAUUCAGGGUAUCCAGAUAAGUUAUCAUCAUGUUCCUCACUGAAGCGACAACCAUGGGAUAUUUGCAGGGCAGUCAAAAGAUGCUUUGGCUUCUAAUUUCAGUGCUGACCUUGGAUUUCUGCAAGUUGUCAGUUUCCAGUGCAGACAUCCUGUCUGAGCCGCAGUGGCCGUUAACUUUGGACACUGCUGGAAUUCGGGGAAGGGGUGAUGUGGGCCUUAGCCACAGUGCAGACCACCUGAGCUCUCCCAUAGCUAGGUCAAGACAAUUAGGUUGUCUCCCUGACUACAGUUUUGACUGUGGAAUUCUCCUGCUCUCCAGGUUGAAGUCAAGAUAUCCCGAUGAACCUGACAAGGGUUGUUAACGUGGGACAUGGCUGCUAUCCAGCCGUUCAUGUUGGUUCAGAUGUUGCUGCUGUGCCACGUCCCAUGGCCCGUCUCCCCCAGCAGGCCUCCAACCAGUCCAGGAGUCACUGCCGUGUGGCCGUGCACAGUUCCAGUCGCAUCGGCGCAAGCACACGACGGCACAGCCGGAGUUGGCAGGGGUCUGUCCGCUUCACCGGAGAAUCAGCCCCUCCAUGGAGCAGAGGAGCCGGCGUCCUUUCCACUGCCAGCUUUGUGCUGUCGGACCCUUAAUCGCUGUUAACCAGUAACUGCAGAGUGAUGGCUUUUGUUUGCACGCCCCUACUUCUGGGGAGAAGCUACAUCUUUUCAUGCCUGUCGACCAUUCCAUUUCCAUUUCUGUUAAUUGCACGCCCUUUUCCUUUACCUAUUUUUUAAUUAGUUUUUUUGUUCAUCCUUGUCUUAUUGAUUUGUGUGAACUCUUUACAUAUGCUGAAUAAUACGCACAUAUCUGUUAUGUUUAUCCAGAUCUGCGGCUUAUCUUUUAACUUUGCUUGUGGUGCCUUUUGUUGUACAGAAGCUAUUAAUUAUAAUGUCAUAUCUAUCACUCUUCGGUUUUAUGGUUUGGGUCUGCGUGUCUUGUUGAAGAAAUGUUUUUGCAUCCAGACAUCAUAAAGCCAUUUCCCUAUAGUUUUUCCUAAGUGUUUAAAAUUUUCCAUUAUAUGUAGGACUUUGACUCGUGAAAUUUACUCUCUGUACAGAAUUAAAGAGCUGGUUUAUUUUAUUUUACUACCUUUGGGCACUUACCGACCAGCCCACCAGCCGACUGCUCUGUGGUGAUCGUCACAGCUGCCCUGCCCGACCAGAACAGCUGCUGCUCUGUUACUGGAGCUCGUGCCUGGGGUUGUCGUGUCACGAUGCCAGGACAAACACCAGAAACAAACCAGAAGGCUUCUCACUACUGCAGCCACGACGCCUUAAAUACCAAAGUGAAGCCAGCGCUCCGCGGGAGAGCAAGCCUCCACUAAAGCAACAGCGGAUGCUGAACGUGCCCCCCAAGGAUUCUCCGUAGUUUCCUGUUGCACAUGUAAACCAUGUUUAAACGCUUAACUUCUCCAAAAGAGGAACAUUUAUUUUUAUUAUUUCAGCAAUGUUAGGUGUCAUUUUAGAAUUCUGUUUCUUUACCUUGCACAUGGAAUUCAAUUUUGUACUCUUUAUAAGCAUAAUGGUAUUUAUAAGAGAAAAAAGCAGUGAUCAGCAGGCAGACCCCACACCCACAGCUACUGGAGGACCAGGUCCCCACAGCCCACCCUAGCACCAGCAAGCUGCCCAGGAGCCUGGGCUGCCGUCCCCCUGCCACCUGCCACGAGGCCAGGGGUGGGGUGGCAGAUGCUGCCGGAGGGUGGAGUUCCCCGAUGUUCACUGUAGCUUAUCAGCCUCAACCUCCAGCUCCCGCCUGGAUGCUGCACCGUGUUCCACCAGGCGCCAGAGGUUCAGGAUAGUUGGACCAGCCUCUUCCUGCCACU
Choloepus didactylus (southern two-toed sloth) is the source of this 2442-nucleotide long non-coding RNA. RefSeq lists it as uncharacterized. The record is from RefSeq and is a predicted model, not a curated record. The transcript is spliced from 9 exons. Lineage: Eukaryota; Metazoa; Chordata; Mammalia; Pilosa; Megalonychidae.